GGAGUGGAUGUGGAUGACACAAAGAAACGGUUGAAGGAAAUGGGGGAAGAAGCGGCUGCACUGCGUGAGAUGCAAGCCAAGGUCGAAUCCCAUAUGGUUCUGCAAGCAAGUUGAGGUGACAAGUAGAGAAUCUGAUAUGCAAUCAUAUGAGAAAAUUCAGUAAUUCAAGGCUUUAUGCGGUCUAUUUUGGAAGAGAAUGAUGGGUGGCAAAAGCUUAUAAAUUGAGAGCUCACACAUUGAAGAAGCCACAAUAUCAGAAAAAGAAGGAUUUCAAAUGGGGUGUUAUGCAUGUGGCUGAAUGAGCAAGGAUACAAGGAGGAAAGCAUUUUUAGACAAACAGCUCAAACUCAACAACAAAACUCAACAACAAAAAUAAGAUGGAAUCCAGAAUCUCGCCUUUUGUUUAGAGUACUUAAGAUAUAUAUAUAUUUUUCUUUAACAUUCAUUCUUAUUUCAUGAAGUCCUUAUGUCUCUCAUUCUCUUUAGUGAAUGAUGUAAAUGUGAUGUACUUUUGUUAAGAUUGAAUGCUGGUAUUUUCUUUUGGAAUGUUUGGAAUUAUUAUGUUGGACAUUGAGGUGAUUUUGAUUGAA
Long non-coding RNA from Quercus lobata, 590 nucleotides. RefSeq lists it as uncharacterized. NCBI's taxonomy places the organism in Eukaryota, Viridiplantae, Streptophyta, Magnoliopsida, Fagales, Fagaceae. The transcript is spliced from 4 exons. The record is from RefSeq and is a predicted model, not a curated record.